RNAcentral lists this ribosomal RNA (580 nucleotides) under uncultured bacterium. RNAcentral describes it as "bacterial SSU rRNA". It matches the Rfam family "Bacterial small subunit ribosomal RNA", at positions 8 to 571 of the family's 1533-position model. The record is from RNAcentral.
AGAGUUUGAUCCUGGCUCAGAACGAACGUUAGCGGCGCGCCUAAUACAUGCAAGUCGAGCGAGAAAGGGCUUCGGCCCCAGUAAAGCGGCGCACGGGUGAGUAACACGUAGGUUAUCUCCCCUCGAGUGGUGGAUAACCCUCCGAAAGGAGGGCUAAUACAGCAUGAGACCACGACCUUUUAGGUUGCGGUCAAAGCAGGCCUCUUCAUGAAAGCUUGCGCUCAAGGAUGAGCCUGCGGCCCAUCAGCUAGUUGGUAAGGUAACGGCUUACCAAGGCUAAGACGGGUAGCUGGUCUGAGAGGAUGAGCAGCCACACUGGAACUGAAACACGGUCCAGACUCCUACGGGAGGCAGCAGUAGGGAAUCUUGCGCAAUGGACGAAAGUCUGACGCAGCGACGCCGCGUGAGCGAUGAAGGCCUUCGGGUUGUAAAGCUCUGUGGGGAGAGACGAAUAAGGUAUGGCCAAUAUCCAUAUCGAUGACGGUAUCUCCUUAGCAAGCACCGGCUAACUCUGUGCCAGCAGCCGCGGUAAGACAGAGGGUGCGAACGUUGUUCGGAAUUACUGGGCGUAAAGCGCAUG